Molecule: ribosomal RNA, 362 nt
Filed under: uncultured eukaryote
Lineage: Eukaryota
Description: SSU rRNA
Rfam family: Eukaryotic small subunit ribosomal RNA
Source: RNAcentral
CAGCUCCAAUAGCGUAUAUUAAAGUUGUUGCAGUUAAAAAGCUCGUAGUUGAACUUCAGACCUGGCUGGGCGGUCUGCCUAACGGUAUGUACUGUCCGGCUGGGUCUUACCUCUUGGUGAGCCGGCAUGCCCUUCACUGGGUGUGUCGGGGAACCAGGACUUUUACCUUGAGAAAAUUAGAGUGUUCAAAGCAGGCUUAUGCCCGAAUACAUUAGCAUGGAAUAAUAAAAUAGGACGUGCGGUUCUAUUUUGUUGGUUUCUAGAGUCGCCGUAAUGAUUAAUAGGGAUAGUUGGGGGCAUUAGUAUUCCGUUGCUAGAGGUGAAAUUUCUUGGAUUUACGGAAGACUAACUAUUGCGAAAGC